RNAcentral lists this non-coding RNA (22 nucleotides) under Arabidopsis thaliana (thale cress). Lineage: Eukaryota; Viridiplantae; Streptophyta; Magnoliopsida; Brassicales; Brassicaceae. The record is from RNAcentral.
UGGACAUAUUCCAGGAUAUGCA